Molecule: ribosomal RNA, 297 nt
Filed under: uncultured bacterium
Lineage: Bacteria
Description: partial 16S ribosomal RNA
Rfam family: Bacterial small subunit ribosomal RNA
Source: RNAcentral
AUUGAACGCUGGCGGCAUGCCUUACACAUGCAAGUCGAACGGCAGCACGGGGGCAACCCUGGUGGCGAGUGGCGAACGGGUGAGUAACAUAUCGGAACAUACCCUAGAGUGGGGGAUAACGUAGCGAAAGUUACGCUAAUACCGCAUACGAUCUAAGGAUGAAAGUGGGGGAUCUUCGGACCUCAUGCUCAUGGAGUGGCCGAUAUCUGAUUAGCUAGUUGGUGAGGUAAAGGCUCACCAAGGCGACGAUCAGUAGCUGGUUUGAGAGAACGACCAGCCACACUGGAACUGAGACAC